GAGUGGGUUCAAACCGUGACUAUGGCACUGGAUCCCAUCAGACCUCCAAAGUUAAGCGUCCCUGGGCUUGAAUAGUACUGGGCUGGGUGACCACCUGGGAAGUCCAAGUGACCCCCUCU
Ribosomal RNA from Selaginella moellendorffii, 119 nucleotides. The record is from Rfam. NCBI's taxonomy places the organism in Eukaryota, Viridiplantae, Streptophyta, Lycopodiopsida, Selaginellales, Selaginellaceae.